This is a long non-coding RNA of Falco peregrinus (peregrine falcon), 1555 nucleotides long. RefSeq lists it as uncharacterized. The record is from RefSeq and is a predicted model, not a curated record. The transcript has 2 exons. Lineage: Eukaryota; Metazoa; Chordata; Aves; Falconiformes; Falconidae.
GGUGUGCAGGGGAACCCCCACAAAUCCGUGGGUGACAGCCUGUGUCACCGUCCCUGGGGAGCGCUAGCUGCCUCCCACUACCGCCGGCUCUGCUGGAUGGACAGCGGGCUGGGGACUGGACACGCUUCCUUGGGGGGGUUGCUGACUGCUGUACCCUGCCCACUAUGUGCGGGAGCCAGACCAAACCCCUGCCAGAGGACUGGAAAUAGGCAGGUUGCAAGAUGCGGUUGAGAAAUCAAACUCCUGGGUUGCGGCAGGAGCCAUGUCCUUGGAAUUUGGAGUCUGACCGAGGAAAAUGACCUGGCAGCGCAGUUUACGCGGGGGGAUGCACAGGGGAUUUGGCAAUGCUUCUUGCUACACCAGGUCUCAAAGCCGCACGGUGUCCAGAAAGGUGACUUCUCACCAGAGUCCCGUGCCUGCGUGCACACAGAAGGCACUUCAGGUGUCCCUGUGUCUAGUAAGUGCAUUCCACGGAGGCUGAAACUAACACCCACAACCUAGAAGCUGUGGAGAGCACAAUGGUGCAGGACGGCGAGGUGGAGACAUCCUACGGGCAGAGCAUGGGUGCAGUGGUGACAGACCUCGGGCAGCACUCCUUCGGGAGUGCUGGAACACUCUCCUGCCACCAGCUUGGAGCUUCUCUGUGAGCACUGAAGUUCAUACAGAGCCUCUGCUAACGCUGCCUCAGCCUCCCUGCCACUGCUUUUGCAACCCUGAAUCAUCCCUCAGAGACCUCUGGUCUGGAAAGCCUUUCCUGUCCAGUAUGUUUUCCUUUUGCUUUCAGGCUCUCCUGGUGUUUGAUUAGUGUGUGGCAGCUGACCUCGCGUGGCAGGACUCAAAGGCAGAGCUGGGAUAAAACAACUGGCUGUCCCCCAGAUACCAGUGAUCCUCCCACUCCUGGAAUGUCCUAGAGAUGAUAGGACUCCCUCAGUUUUUCCCAUAUGCUAAGUCAGGCAUUGCUGCCUUCCAAACAAGAGGGACAGGGAAGGAACAGAAUGGAGUCUGGAACAAAUACUGCUUUGCAGAUCCUUUUUCUGUCCCUAAUGCUGCUCCUCUGCAAGUGGCCGGUGACACAAAGGGCUGUGUUGCUGAGACUGGGGGCUGAGGCUGUGGGGCUCAUGGGGUAUUUCUGUAGCCUCGCAGGCAGUCCUUAUGCUUGGUGAACCUGUGUUACCCAAGACUACGUUCCCAGUGGUACUACCAGUUCAGCAAAUCUUGAGGGAAUCCAGCUUGCAAAGAAUCGCGCUGGUGGCAAGUGCUGGGUGAGACCCUGGAAGGAGGAAUUGGAAAUGCAACCUUUUUCUGGAACGUGGACAAGCCCACAGUUCUGAGGAAUGCAGACACUGUGUUACUGUGCUAUUUGUAGGACAGAGGUUUCUGUAUAGUGCUCGGCACGUUGUGUCUAACGCGCACUGAGGGGAUGGCCGUUUUCUGGGUUAGAAUAACGAAGCACGUGGGGGUGCGAGGGAAAAGCAAGACUCCCAUCUUGCUCCAGUCACAUUCUCUAUACUCAGGUUGCUUCUGUAUUCGUCAUGAAUAAAAGCCAUUAACUACA